AGACAGGAAAUAGGAUCUUAGUGGGUGGCCGCCAAGAGCGCACAGACUUUGAAGCAGGAAAAGACAGUCUCUAGAGCAACAUGGAAAGGAUCCAGAAUCUAAAAUAUUCCUGGAAAUGGAGAGUCCUGACAUGAUGGCCCCAUGAUGAAAAGAACCCAGGUUCCUGAGUCACGACGUGGACAUGAGGCACCAAGGAGAAAACACGUGAACCUUAAUAAGUUUGGGGGUACACCUCCUUGCCAUGUGUUACCUUCUGUCAUGUUAUGAUGCAG
RNAcentral lists this long non-coding RNA (272 nucleotides) under Homo sapiens (human). RNAcentral describes it as "HSALNT0394760". The record is from RNAcentral. Lineage: Eukaryota; Metazoa; Chordata; Mammalia; Primates; Hominidae.